CGGGCUGUAGCGCAGAGGCUAGCGCGCGCCGUUCGGGACGGUGAGGCCGGAGGUUCAAAUCCUCUCAGCCCGA
This 73-nucleotide transfer RNA is filed under the name Oceanispirochaeta crateris. It matches the Rfam family "tRNA". Rfam says of the family: Transfer RNA (tRNA) molecules are approximately 80 nucleotides in length. The record is from Rfam by way of RNAcentral. Lineage: Bacteria; Pseudomonadati; Spirochaetota; Spirochaetia; Spirochaetales; Spirochaetaceae.